CAUAGGUUUGGUCCCAGCCCUUCUAUUAGUUGCUAGCAAAACUACACAUGCAAGUAUCCGCCCCCCAGUGAAAAUGCCCUAUAAGUCACAACCCGACAAAAAGGAGCAGGUAUCAAGCACACAUUCAAUGUAGCUCAAGACGCCUUGCUCAGCCACGCCCCCACGGGAGACAGCAGUGAUAAAAAUUAAGCAAUAAACGAAAGUUUGACUAAGUUAUGCUUGCUAAGGGUUGGUAAAUUUCGUGCCAGCCACCGCGGUCAUACGAUUAACCCUAAUUAAUAGACCUACGGCGUAAAACGUGUUUAAGAGACUCCCUUCGACUAAAGCCAAACUCUAGCCAUGCUGUAAAAAGCCCCGGCUAUUGUAAGCCCUACCACGAAAGUGACUUUAAACCAUCUGAACACACGACAGCUAAGGCCCAAACUGGGAUUAGAUACCCCACUAUGCUUAGCCGUAAACUUAAAGAAUUUGCUAAAACAAAAUUCUUCGCCAGAGAACUACUAGCCAAAGCUUAAAACUCAAGGGACUUGGCGGUGCUUUAUACCCCUCUAGAGGAGCCUGUUCUAUAAUCGAUAAACCCCGAUAAACCUCACCAACCCUUGCCAACUCAGCCUAUAUACCGCCAUCUUCAGCAAACCCCGAAAGGGAGCCAUAGUAAGCUCAAUCAUCUCACAUAAAGACGUUAGGUCAAGGUGUAGCCUAUGGGUUGGAAAGAAAUGGGCUACAUUUCCUAUUACUAGGUCACUCCACUCUUCAAACGAAAGCCCUCAUGAAAACAAGGGCUGAAGGCGGAUUUAGUAGUAAGCUGAGAAUAGAGCGCUCAGCUGAAUAAGGCCAUGAAGCACGCACACACCGCCCGUCACCCUCCUCAAGUACUAACAGUAGAUCUUAAUCCUAUUUAACGCCUACUAUACGUACUAGAUGAGACAAGUCGUAACAAGGUAAGCAUACUGGAAAGUGUGCUUGGACAACA
RNAcentral lists this non-coding RNA (973 nucleotides) under Chrotopterus auritus. RNAcentral's name for it is "12S ribosomal RNA". It matches the Rfam family "Bacterial small subunit ribosomal RNA". The record is from RNAcentral. Lineage: Eukaryota; Metazoa; Chordata; Mammalia; Chiroptera; Phyllostomidae.